RNAcentral lists this long non-coding RNA (97 nucleotides) under Zonotrichia albicollis (white-throated sparrow). RNAcentral describes it as "lncRNA (ENSZALG00000005694.1)". Lineage: Eukaryota; Metazoa; Chordata; Aves; Passeriformes; Passerellidae. The record is from RNAcentral.
CUUAUUCUGUGGUUUAGAUUGCAAGCAGCUCCUCGGAGCCAGGGCCUGUGGGGUCCUGGAAGGUGCUGAGUUACAGCUUCAACUAUGAUCAGUGCAU